UUUAUUUUCUUCUUGUGCCUUUCAAACU
Molecule: non-coding RNA, 28 nt
Filed under: Mus musculus (house mouse)
Lineage: Eukaryota; Metazoa; Chordata; Mammalia; Rodentia; Muridae
Source: RNAcentral